UUUGAUCUUUCUAGAUUGCUUAAGCUGAUUAUUCAUUCUGUAAAUAAAGGAGAAAGAUGCGAUGAUUCAACACUUGACGCCUUGCAAGCUCGUUUGAGAAGCCUUUUGAAUGAUAAGAAGUUCUUGCUCGUCCUGGAUGAUGUGUGGAAUGAAAAUAAAGCAAAAUGGGCUGAGUUAAGAAAUUUGUUGAGAUCGACGGAUGGAUUUUCUCCAAGCAAAAUUAUUGUCACCACUCGGAGUUUGAACGUGGCCUCGAUAAUGAGUUCAAUUCCCCCGUAUAUUUUGAAAGGUCUCCCUCUUGAAGACUGUUUGACCUUAUUUACAAAAUGGGCUUUUGAUGAUGGUGAUGAGAGACAUUAUCCAAAUCUCAUUAGAAUCGGCGAGGAGAUUGUGAAAAAAUGCAAAGGGGUUCCUUUGGCAGUAAGAACAUUGGGAAGCCUACUGUUUCAGAAAACGGAUGAAUCUNNNNNNNNNNNNNNNNNNNNNNNNNNNNNNNNNNNNNNNNNNNNNNNNNNNNNNNNNNNNNNNNNNNNNNNNNNNNNNNNNNNNNNNNNNNNNNNNNNNNAAAUAUGGAGACUUGAACAACAUGAACACGAUAUUUUACCAGUGUUGAAGUUGAGUUACAAUCAUUUGCCAUCUCAUUUGCAACGAUGUCUUGCUUUUUUGUCCUUGUACAAAAAGGAUGAGAUCUAUUAUAGUGAUAGAGUUAUCUGUCUUUGGAUGGCAAAUGGACUCCUUGAGCGUCCAAAGCAAAAUCAAGAGUGGGAGGAUGUUGGCAAACGAUAUUUGAAUGAAUUACUGUCAAGGUGCCUCAUCCAAAUGGAGCAGGAUUUUUGGUUGUAUUUUACAUUCAAAAUGCAUGAUCUGGUACAUGAUCUUGCAUUAGAUGUGUCUCAAAAAGAAUGUAAAACAGUGAAUUCGGAAACAGAAACGGUUGAUGAAAAUGUUCGACAUUUAUUAUUCUGUGAUGAGAAGUUGGUUGGAGUUCCACGUGUUUUGGAGGAAAUGAAAAAUGUUCGAACAGUAAUCAUCCAAGAUGCUUCAAAGGAAUCAAAGACUACUCAUGAAUCACUUAUAAAUCUGUGUCUCUCCAACUUCAAGUAUCUUCGAGCAUUAGAAUUAAGGAAGUCACCAUUGAUGGCUUUACCAAAUUCCAUUGGUACCUUGAAGCACUUACGAGACCUUGACUUGGUCGGAUGUAGGAGUCUACGUGAACUCCCGAGGUCUUUCGAUAAGCUUCGCAGCUUGCAAUCGUUAAAUUUGGGAGAUACUGGUUUGAAGCAGUUGCCUGACAGCGUGCAAAGGUUGAUUGAGCUUAGACAUCUAGAAAUAACCAUUAAAGCUACGCAUUUGAAAGAAAUACGAGCAGGAUGUUGGACUUCUCUUCAAUACUUGGAAUUGAGGUGGUGUAUGGAAUUAGAAUGUUUACCUGAAGGAAUGCAGUAUCUGAAGUCACUUCGGACACUUGUCCUGAAGCACUGUGAUAGUCUUGUCUCAUUGCCACGGAGCCUGAAAUUCCUAACCAAGUUAGAACACCUUUAUAUAAAAUUUUGCAGUAGUAUGAAUUUGAAAAUGGAACCAGAAGAGGAAGAAGACAAAGACCUUCAGUUGAGCCUUAAAACUCUCACACUCUUCGGAUCACAUGCCUUAAGAGAUUUGCCACGAUUGCUUCUUCAAGGAUCUUCUUCCACUUUGCAGCAAUUACGAAUUGCGUUUUGUCCAGACUUGUCCGCUCUACCAGCAUGGCUACUGAAUCUCACUUCUCUUCAAAAACUUGAGAUUAAGGGUUGCUUUAAUUUGUGGGAUCUACCGGAGGGAAUAGACCGCUUCACCAACCUUAGAGAAUUGACAAUUGACGGAUGUCCGGAGUUAUGCAAAAGAUACAGAGAAAAUGGGGGUGAAGAUUGGCACGAAAUUGCUCACAUCCAAAAGGUUGAUAUUUACGAAUGAAGAAUGAGGUAUGUGGUAAAAUUUUAAUUUCUCUAUCAGAUUUGAUUUCAUAGUAUCUUCCCCUUUUAUAUGUUUAAUGUUCGUGAAGUACUCAUUGUGUUUGGAAACAUUGCAUGUAUGAAAUGUGAAGAUGGAGAUGGAUGAAUGAAGCAAAGGGUGAGGCUUUUACUUUAUUUGCAUUCAGAUUUCACAGUUGAGCUUUUUAUUUGGAUAUUUCAAAUGCCUUCAUGCUAUAGAUUGUAAUGUAUAAAAUUUUAUGCAUAUUUAUGUAUUCUCAUGGUUGGUUUGUCUUUAUAAUUUAGUAUAUAAAUAAAUUGGUUAUCCAAUUAUAAAAAAGUUACAAAAUGUAGGAGGUGCUAAAUUGAUUAUCCAAUUAUAAAAAAGUUGUGCUAAAUUAGUACAUUUUGAUUUGGUAAUUAUAACUAUAGCAUUGGUAGGUUUUUGAGCAGGUUUAUAAUCACCAAAAUGUAUCUUAGCUCAUUUCCAAAUCUUGAUUUUGUAAUGACCAUCAAAAGAUUUAUUUUUGAGCUACACAGUUUAGCACAUAGCUGUGUGUUACACAUGGGUUGAUGAUAUGAUCGUGUGACCUAUAGAAAUUAAGAUUCUUUUGAACCACACAGUUUUCGCUUGUUGCACGGGCUGACGACAUGCCCGUUUGGGUACUGUAGGUCAAGUUAUAUAAUUUGUACAUGGUCACAAUUAAUUAUACAAUUUAAUCACACGGCCGUGUGAUUUUUGGAGAAUUCUUAUAUUUAGGUCCACACGGUUACAAUGAGUUCACAUAGUCUAGAUACAUGGUUAUGUGACCCUUGUUUGUUGAAGUUUCAAUACUUUUUGCUAAAUUUUCAAUGAAGUCUUUAGUUGUUCCCUUGUAUAUUCCAAAUAUAUAGUUUUUUUUAGAAUAAUGGAUUAAUGUAAAUUUGACAAACUAAAAAUAAUUUAAAUUAAAUAUUAUUAAAUAAUUUUAUAAAAUUAUUAUAUUAUAUUAAAUAUAAAUAUAAUUAGUAAAUAAUAUAUAAAAACUAGUUUUUUCACCCGUGUGAUUCACAGACUUACGGUAUAAAUUAAUUAUUUUUAAGAGUUAUAAAAUUCUAUAAAAAAUAAAUAUAAUAAAUUAAUUAAUAAGUAAAUUUAAACAAUUUAAAUGUGCAAAUGGUAAUAGUGAUUAUGGUUAUAAAAUAAUCAUUGCACCUUUAAUUAAUAAUAGUGUAAAUUAAUACUUAUAUAUAGACGUAUGAGUUUAUUAUAUUUAAAUUAAAAUAUUUGUAUUUAUAAAAUAUUUACAUAUAUUAUAAAUUAGUACAUAUAUAAAGAUUUAAUUAAUUCAUAUUUUUUAUAUAAAAAUAUUUACGCACUAUAAUUUUAGUGUAUAUGCUAAGAUUUAAUUAAAUUUAAAUUUAAAUUUCUAAUAAAAAUAAAAAUAAAAAUUAUUUUUAAUAAAAAUAGUAAAAAACAUAUUUUUAUUUAUAUGGUAAAAUAGUAAAGAAAUGAACAUUCAUUCAUAAGGUGAAUGUGAGUACGGGAGUAUUCUUUAGCAAAUGUGAGGGUAAGUGUGAGUAUAAGAGAGUUCUCUAGCUAGUGUGAGAAUAAAAAGUGAUAUAUAAAAAUAUAUUUUAAUUAAUACGAUAUUAAAAUUAACUUUUUAAAUAAAAAUAGUACUAAAAUUAACUUUUUUUUAUGAUAAAAGUAAAGAAAUGAGUUAUGAGAAUAUUCUUUAAUUAAUGUGGGUUAAAAUUAAAUUUUAAUGAAAAAGUGAAGAAAUAAACGCUUAUUUAUAGAGUAAGUGUGAGCUUUGAUUUUCAAAAUUGAUGAGGAUUAAAUUGCUAAAUUUUUUUGAGAAUGAUCAAUUUUGUCAAUAUUAGAAUUGAAAAGGAGUGGAGAGAUGUUUUUACCAAUCUACAUAAAAAUUGAAAUUUAUCCUAUUGAGCUAUUAAUGAUAAUAAAAACAAUCAAUUAAACUCUUCCGUUAAUGGAAAUUGUUAGUAGAUCGGUUUGACUAUUAACAGUAAAAAAAAUUAAAACAUCAUUUUAAAAUUGAUAAAAAAUAUAUACAUCUAGAAUGAAUCUGGAUAAUAAUUUGUCCAUAUUCAUUCUAUAUGAGUGUAAAACUAUAAAAAUUUAAAAAUUAUAAAGAUUAUAAAAAAGUUUUAAAUAUGUAAAAGAUUAAAAAAAUAAAAAAUAAAAAUAAUUUAUAAAAAAUUAAUAAAAAUGCACAUUUAGAGUGAACUUUAGCCAUCCUCGAGUAUCUUCUUGUAAUGCCACAUGUUAUGUCGGGUGAGAGUAUAACAACACUAAUUGAUUAAAAUUAUAUAUAAUUGAAAAAAAAUAUUUAUUAUGAUUAAUUACUUUUAUUACUGAUAGAAAUUAAAUUACUCAAAAUUAUUGAGAAGGAGUGGAGAGAUGCUUUUACCAAUAUACAUAAGAAGCCUUUUGAUAUAUUGAGAUUUAAAUUUACUUGUGGGCUGUGCCGACAGGCGUUUGUAGUCCAACGGUUAGGAUACUUUCACACCAGAUAAAUUAUUGUUCAAGUUCAUUUAAAUUUAGAUAAUUAUUUAUCUAAAUUUAUUUUGUAUGAGUGUAAAAUUAUAAAAAAUUUAAAAAUUAUAAAUUUUAUAAAAAGAUUCAAAUAUGUAAAAGAUUCAAAAAAAAUAUUAAUAUUAAUAAUUUAUAAAAAAUUUAAUAAAAAACACAUUUAGAAUGAGCUUGAGCCGUCCUUGGGUGUCUUAUUGUAGUGCCACGUGUUGCGCUGGGUGAGGAUAUAACAACACUAAUCAAUCAAAAUUAUAUAUAAUUGCCAAAAUAAUAUUUAUUGUGAUUAAUUGCUUUUAUUUGUUACUUUUCAAAAUUGAUAGGGAUUAAAUUGCUCAAAUUUUUUAGAAGGACCAAUUUUCUCAAUAUCAAAACUGAGAGGGGGUGAAGAGAUGUUUUUACCAAUAUAUCAUGGGGGACAUAGAGACUAUUAAUAUAUUUAAAUUUUAAGUUUAACUUAUGCAGCAUCAGGGGUUUGUAGUCCAACGGUUAGGAUAAUUGCCUUCCAAGCAAUAGACCUGGGUUUGACUCCCGACAAACGCAGUUGGAUUUUUCAUUUUAAGCAAUUUCCUUUUUUCCUUGUUCUCCGAUGGAAUGAAGGUGGUAACUGGUGAGUGUUCGUUGGAUAACAGUCUGAUAACUAAUAGUUCAUAAAAUACUCCCUUUGAGAACGCAAGAUGCAAAUGUCCAUGAAUAUGCGGUCAAAGCAAAAGUAUAAGUGUUCAUUUUUCUCCAAGAACAUCUAUCCUAUAUCUAAAUAUAGAGCUAUAAUCUUUAUGAAAAUCUAGAAAAAGAAGUUGAUAUAUUUAUUGUACAAGCCCAUUUGCCCGGGCCCAACAAACAAAACAAAAUAGACCUAACUAUCCAAUUACGCCCACCAGCUCAAUAAGCCCAAAAUUUAAAAAGCCCAAUGCCCAUUUUCAGAAAAAAACAAAUCAGCCUAGGGUUUCAGAAACUGAAACCCUAGCCCCUAACUAAGUGGCGCCGCAAGCCUCUUCUGACUCUUAGUCUACUGGCCGCCGCCCUCUGUCGACAUGGCCCACUUGCACCGCCACGGUCACAUCCGUCCUCACCUGCCCUCUGCUACUGCCAGUCUCCUGCAAAUACACAACAAAAAUCAACAACAUAAGGGAAAACAGAGAUUCAUUGUGAUUUUCUUUUCUUUCGGCUAUAAAGCCGAAAUUGUAAAAACAAAGAAAGGGGGGAGGCUUCAUCACUGUAAUCGGGUCUUUUCCUUUUCUUUUGUAACAUUUUCACAACACAAUAGUUAAUGAAAAAAGGCAGAGAAAACAUUUAAAGGUUGAUUCAGACUUUUUAUUCUUUUUUUCUGUUCGUUUUUAUAUUUGUUUGUUUUUUUUAUAUACGAAUUUAUCUCAACAAAAACGAAAUAAAAAAGGAGAAAGAACCUUACCUGAAUCGUCUCGCAAGCGUCGUCGCCGGAGUCCUACUUCGGGUCACCGAAAUUGGGCGGGGAAGGCGGCGAUUUGAUUUUUCUCUCGCGACCCCGAGGCCAUGAAGACUUGGUCUUCAGUUGGUCCUUGAAGCAGGGUUUAAAAACCCGACGUUUGGGCUUCUGACCACCGCUCACGGCGGGGUCGACGGUGGCCCAUUUGGCCGGCGACGGGGGGGAGUUGAAAGAAGAAUGGUUUGUUUCUUUCUUUCUUCUGCAGUUUUUUUUUAAAGAAACCCUAGAAAUGAUUUUUUUUAAAGAAAAUUGGGUUUAAAUACCCUAAACAAAACGGCACCGUUUUAGCCCCUUCGACCCGCGCGGUGACCCGACCCAGAGGAGGAUCCGCGUGUUUUCCUUAAAUGGUAUAAUUGCACGCGCAGUCCCUCAAACUUUACAACGCGUUGCAAUUUGGCCCUUGUUUCGUUGUUUUCUGUUAUUUUAAUUUGGCCACAAAGUUUUAUUGUUGUUUCAAUUUAGUCCAUUGCAGUGCUGCGUUUUGGAUGUCUUGGUUUAUUUACUUUUUUGGUCCCUUUCCUCUCGGCGCACGUUGCAACUUAAUCCUUCUCGUUUUUUUUAAAUUCGCCCAGUAUCUUUAUCUCUAUUUCAAUUUAGUCCCUUUUUUAGUAAUUCUAUUAUUAUUAUUAUUAUUAUUAUUAUUAUUAUUAUUAUUAUUAUUAUUAUUAUUACUUACUUAUUAUUUAGUUUAGUUAUUAUUACUUAUAUUAUUAUUANNNNNNNNNNNNNNNNNNNNNNNNNNNNNNNNNNNNNNNNNNNNNNNNNNNNNNNNNNNNNNNNNNNNNNNNNNNNNNNNNNNNNNNNNNNNNNNNNNNNAAUUUUAGAUAUUAUUAUAUAUUUGCUUAUAUAUGUACAUACGUAUAUGUAUAUGUAUGUUUUCUUUUUGUUUGUUUUUCUUAACCUCUUUAAUAUAUACAUAAAUACUUUUUUUUAUAUGUAUAUCUAUAUAUAUGUAUAUCUCAUCUUCAUAAAUGUAUAUUUAUAUGUAUAUAAAGAUAUAUAUUCUUAUAUAUUCAUCAUAUUUUUAAAAAAUAUAUUGUUUAUAUGCUUUAUACUUUGUGAUUUGUAUAUAUACUUAUACUUACAUGUAUAUAUAUAUAUAUAUUUAUAUUUGAUUAUGGUUAUAUACAUGUAUGCGCAUAUGUGCUUAUGUAUUUUCAUGUAUAAUAGUUUCAAUAUGUGUACAUGCAUAUGCUUUUUUCAUAUUUUCAUAAUUUUAUACAUGUAUACAUGUCUUUUAUUGUUUUUAUAAUUUUGUUAGUCUUGUUCGUUUAUUUAUGUACAUGUUUGUUUUUCUUGCUUUAGUUUUUAUCUGUUUAUCAUUUUGUUCGUUUAUUUAUGUACAUGUUUGUUAUUGUUUUUCUUGCUUUAGUUUUUGCCUGUUUAUCAUCUGUCAUGAUGCCUGCCCGAUUGCUUUUAUAUUAGUCUUAUCACUUAUUUAUAUUUUGUUUUGCAUGAUUAUUUUACUUACAUUAUCAUCAUCAUUUCAUUACACCCAAUUUUUUUAGAUUUCAAGAAAGAAAUUUUAAAAAUAUAAGUAAUAUUCGAUAUUUUAAAUCUUCGAAAGAAUCGAGCCCUAACGUAUUGGGUUUCGAUUUUCUUCGUUGAAUCUAAAUAAUCGAGAUUACUCUUUUAAGAAUAAUAAUAAAAAGCUCAUUAUCGGGAAUUCAAUAUGUUAUGUCCUAACGCAUUGGAUAUGACACGCUGUUUUCCUGAUAUAAGAAUUUUUUCUAAAAAAAAAAUUCAAAAUAAGGCAAUAUUUUGCGUUUAGAAAUUCGAGAAAACAUGUCCUAAGGUGCUGGGUAUCGAUUUUUUUCGUUCAACCAAAUGGCUUAAUAUCUUUUUUAAAAAUUUCAAAAUAUGGCAAUGUUUUGCAUUUGGAAAUUCGAGAAAACAUACCCUAAGGUGCUGGGUAUCGAUUUUUCUCGUUCAACCAAAUGGCUUAAUAUCCUUUUUAAAAUUUUCAAAAUAAGGCAAUGUUUUGCGUUUGGAAAUUCGAGGAACGUACCCUAAGGUGCUGGGUUUCGAUUUCUCGUUUAACCAAGUUGCCAAAUAUCCUCUUGAAUUUUAAUUUAUGCCAUUCGAGUUUUUUUUUUGGAUCGUAUUUUAAAUUUCUUUAAAGUUUUCAGUUUUUUGACACUAAGGCAUUAAUUAAUCAACUAGGUACCAAUUUUGGGCGUAUCGAGGGUGCUAAUCCUUCCUCGUGCGUAACCGACUCCCGAACCCAUUUUUUUGAAUUUCGUGGACCAAAAUCGUUGUUUUAAUAAAAUUAAAUCGUUUAUUAAAAACAACCACUUUUUGAGGUGAUCCGAUCAUACCUCAUCAAAAAGGAUCGGUGGCGACUCUCAUUUUCGUUUUCAUUUUCUAAAAUCCCAGUCGACCCCGUUUUUCAUCCAAAAAAUAGUGUCAACAUUUAUAUUAGACAUAUACCAAAAUUAACUCUUGAGUGAAAAACUACAUUAGUCUUAACUUGAAUAAGAUGUUGAAAUGCACAUCAUUUUUCAGUUAAUGAAAUCAUUAUAUUUUCGACUAAUGUAAUUUCUCGUUAACUUGAAAAAUUACAAUAAUUCAUGCAUUAAAAUUUAUGUAUAAUAUAAAUGAAAUAAAAUAUUUUAUUUUUAUAAAUUUUAUAUUUAAUUAUUCUAAUACUAGAUAUUGAUUAUUUAAGAUAUGUAUUGAUUGUCUAUCAUAUUUGAUCUAUCGAAAAACACAUGGCCAUGUGUAGUUCAGUAGUUGGUUGGAUUCUGUCAAAGGAAAUAGUAAUUAGAUUUGAAGCAGUUGAGGUCGUUAGUUAAAGUUGGACCCUUCUAGCUCGCAAGGCUAAAGAGCUAAAUUGUGGACGUGUUUCAUGAUUGUUCGUUCAGUAAGGAUUGAUUGUUAAAUAUUCUCGCAAUUAAUUUAAAAACAAUUUGAGUUUGAACAUAAUGAAAAAGAUCAAUAGGUUGAAAGUCGAAAAACAAAUUAGACUGCUAUUGUAAAAAAAUAUAAAUACAAUUUCAAUUAAAGUUUAUUAAUAUAAUGACUUGAUUAUAAUAAAAAAUAUUAAAUUUUCAUUGUGACUCAAACCAUUAUUUUUAAUCCGAUAAAGGUAGUGAUAGUUUUGAUGAAAUUAUGACGCGAGGGGGAGUGUUGGGGUUACUCUUUAUUAGACUUUUAACAAAAAGAUGAAAGUUUUGAUACAAGGUACGGAGCCAACAAACUGAAAAUAUGAUUGUUGAAAGAUUCACAUGAAUGCAAGGAUGAAUCUAGCUAAAUUGGGAGGGUUUGGAAAAAAUAUAGGUUCAAAAAAUAAGUUUAGACAAAAAAAUUGUUUAAAAAUUAGGUUGGAUCUCGAGUAAAAUUUUUUUAGCCCAAGCUCGGUUUGAUUUGAAUUAGCAAAAAGACAAAAGAAAUCUACUAUUUUCUUGUUAUCGCAUUGAUUUGUUACCAUUUUUUGGAUAGAAGAAAUCUUGUUUUAUUGCUAAUUUUAUUACUAUUUUAGAGGUAUUUUUUUAUUUAAGUAUAAAUAUUUUUAAUUUAUUUUCCAAUUUUUAGGAAACAUUUAAUUUACUAUUUUUAGUAUCUUUAAUGUAUUAAUUGUUUAGAUUUUUUUAAUAUGAAAAAAUUUUAAUUUUGCCACAUUGGAUUAAGCCUGAAUUUUAACAUUUUUAUUUAAGUCGAAUUUAGAUAAAAUAUUAAAUCUAAUUUUCAAAUCGAGCUUAAAAUUUUGACAAAACUUAACGCAAUAAAUAAAUCCAGCAAAUCACAUCCUAUGAGAGAGAAAUUGUAUUAUAUAGGAUAAAUGGUAAUCUAAGUUAGAGAAGCUUUUUGUGGAAAUUCAUGAAGCCAAUAACAGGGUGAAGUACACAAAGAAUGAAGGUGGUUGGAAAGGAAUCUAACAUCUUAACAAAAAGUUAAUAAAAUACACCAAUGUAAAUGUUAAUUAAUUAAAUACACAUCAACAACAAUUUUUUUAUUCUUCUUCAAAAAUAAAAUAUUAAUACUAGUACUAAAAAUUAAAGUAACAUUUGAUAAUUAUUAGUCUUAAGAUAUUAUUAAGAGUAUUCAAGGAUCUUGAAGCAUUAGUAUUUAUGAACAGUUAAAUAGAUUAAUUUUGUAAAACAAAAUGAAGAGUAUUAAUAAGGCAAAAUCUUAUUUUUCCUAAGAAUUUUAUAACCCAAAUUUGUUUAUUUCUUUAAUAAUUUUACUAUUUAUAUUUCAAAUUCAUGAAUAGUUGAUGUUACAUCUUUACAAAGUUACACUUCCCCCUAUAAAAUAUUCAUAGGUUUGAUAAUUUCUUUCCUACAAGAUUUCAAGGACCCGAACAAUAUGUUAGCGUUAGCAGGUUAAGUCACAGGCACGUCGAACAGGAAGGCUUGUUUUUGUUUUUUUCUUUUUUCGAAUUUCGGGCUACAACAAGAAGUUCUUUGUUUGAUUUCUUACCACAAAAAAAGAAGAAAAAGAGAAAAAAGGAAGGGUCUUUCUUGAAUGCUGUACUGCCUCUCUUCUUUCUUUGCUCUUGAAAUUCAAUUAUGGCGGAAACGUUUCUUUUCGAUAUUGCAGAAAGGGUUCUCGCCAAAAUUGUCCAUCUCUCUGUAGACGAAGUUCGCUUUGAAACAUUGCAUGUAUGAAAUGUGAAGAUGAAGAUGGAAGAAUGAAGGCAAGGUUGAGGCAGGCCACCCAAGACUUUUACUUUAUUUGCAUUUAGAUUUCACAGUUUAGAAUUGUAAUUCUAGUAACUCUAGCUUUUGCUUUGGAGAUUUCAAAUGGCUUAAUUGUAAUGUUUGUUUGACAUCUCAAAUGGCUUCAUGCUAUGCCUUGUAACUCUUAACUUUAUGCAUAUUUAUGUUUUCUCAUCCUUCCUUUCUCUUUAUGAUUACCAAUUUGGCUUAAUGCAUCAUUUAAUCUCUAAAAUAUACUAUUUUUUUUCACUUUGGUCCUUACAACUUUUUCUAGCCCAAAUUAGGGCAUAAUUAGAAACAUGUGUAUACAAAUGAAUGAGAUUACAUUUAUACAUAACCUAUUCAAUUAAAUCAAUUAUUAAUUGAUAAUUAGAUAAUUCAAUCAAUUAUGUUUGUAGUUAGACACAUGUAUAUACAAGUUUAUUUGUCUACAUUUUUACAUAGUAUAAUUUAAUUAAAUCAACAAUUAAUUGAUAAGUUCUAUAAUUUAAUCAAUUCAAGUAUCUGACUUAAUUCAUAAUUAGAGGAAUUUACAAGAUUAUAACCAUCAAUGGAGAAAUAUACAACUGAUAAAUGCUCCUAAAAUUACUUAUACACCAUGACAUAUACAUUCAUAUAUCUGAUUGAUUCAAUAAUGGUUUUACGAUUCAUCAUAUAUUUUUAAAUGACUUGUACAUCAUUAAUUCUACAUAAAUUACUUGAUUUACUAUUUAUUUUAAUUUAAUAUAAUAUUCUGAAAAGUUUAUAAAAUAAUAAAUGAUAAAUAAUAUUAAACUUGAUAUGAAAAGUGAUAAUACAUCCAAUUUACAUGUUUAUCACGCUUAAUUUUGAUAAAUUCUUGAAUGAGAUGCUACUAAUUUUAGACCUAUUAUUUGAUUUUUGAUUAGGUGUAAAAGCAAACUCGAAAAAUUAAAAAAGUCGAAAAUGCAAGCUGUUGUAAAAGUUGUGAGCUUUUAUUUUUGGAUUUAUUUGUAAAAUAAAUACUUUUAAUUUUAUUUUUAAAUAACUCUUCAAUAUUAGAUUGAUGAGUAUAAGUAGAAUUAAGGUUUUAGGCUAGGUACAAGGAAGGGAGAAUGGAAUGGAGAAUUGAACUUACUUCCUUGUUCUCAAUUCUGUUUUAACUCUUUUCUUUACUUGUGUAGUAUUGCACCAUUUACCUUUUUAUUUUAAGCUAAUAAAUAACCCUAUAGAUAGCGGUGAGAUCUAAACUUGCAUUUCAAAACUUUCGUUCCAGUGUUUAUUAUUUUUUCAGUUUAGGAGAUAAACUUCAUUUUCUCACAAAAUUAUAUUGGCAUCAAGUUAAAAAGAGUUUGUUGAUUCAGUAUUGAUAGGCAUACAGUUAGAAAUACUGAGUUGAUCGUUUAUCGUAUUCAAUCUACUGAAGAACACAUUGGCAUGUCUAAUUAAGUAGUUAGUUAGAUUCUGUUAGGAGGAAAUAGCAAUCAGUUUUGAAACGGUUGAGGCCAUUGGUUUAAGUUGAGCCAUUCUAGUUCACAAGGUUAUCAGAGUUAAAUCGUGGACUCGUGUUUCGUAGUUAUUCAUUCAAUAAAGGUUAGUUGUUAGACGUUCUUGCAAUAAAUUUAUACAUAGAAAGGUUAAUAGUCCAAGGCAUCCUCGAUUAUUAUAAUUGACUUAUCGAUCAAAGGAGAAGACUUGCUAUUAAGAUACUUAUCGUAAAUUUAAUCAUUUAUGAACUCUAAAUAAAAUACUUCUUAUACCCAUUAAAGCCAAACCAUGUAUUUAUCUAACUUAUAUUUAUUUUGGUAAAAGGAGACUUAUAUUUAUUUACUUUAUUCCUAAAACUUCAAAGAAGCCCCAUCUUUAUCUUUUAAGUUUCAAAAGGAGGUUUAAAUUUUAUUUUUACUAAAAAAACAUUUUCUCAAUCCAAAACAAAUAUUUAAAUUAUAUUACCAUAUAUAAUUUAUGAAUUUAAUUUAAAUAAUAUUUUUAAUCCAUAUACCUUUUAAUGGAUAAAUUAUCAAAAUUGUUAUUUUUGUUUACCUCAAGUUACAUUUUAGUUAUUAUUGUUUGAAAUGUUACAUUUUAGCCACUUACAUUAAUAUUUUUUUAACGAAAUCAUCACUUUACCGUUAAAAUUUGUUAUUUCUCAAACGAUAGUCCAAUAUAACAGUUAAAAUGAGUUUUAAAUGUUAACAAUAGAGUGACCGUUUUCUUUAUAAAAUGAUAACAAAAGUAACUAAAAAUAAUAUUUUAAACAUAAGUGAUUAAAAUGUAACCUAAAUUAAAUAAAAAUGUUUAUUUUGAUAGAUUACCUCUUUGUUUUUUUAAUUUAUCAACACAGCGUAGUUAAGUUACAGCCAAGUCAACUGUGAAGCCUAGUCAACAAUCAAAAGCAGAUAUUUGGCUGAAAAAAAUAAAAUCAUUAUUGAGUGCCUCAAUCAUUCAUUUGCCUUCCUUCCCCUCAAUCAUUCAAGCUUUGCUCUAGAAAUUCAAUUAUGGCGGAAACGUUUCUGUUCAAUAUUGCAGAAAGGGUUGUCGAGCAAAUUGUCGGUCUCACUGUAGACGAAGUUCGCUUGGCGUUUAAUGUCAAAACCGAUCUGAAAAAGCUGGAGGACACCAUGUUCAGCAUUAAAGCUGUGCUCUUGGAUGCCGAGCGGCAACAGCACCAAAAUGAAAAGCUGCGCCUCUGUAUGUGGAAGCUCAGAAACAUCUUUUACGAUGCUGAGGACGUUAUUGACAAUUUCAAGUGUGAAGCUCUCCGGAAACAGGACGCCAUCAGUCAUCCCGUCAUCAACAACUUAAAGGUGCGAGUUUUAGGUUCCUGUUGUUUGCCUCUUUCAUUCUCUUCAAAAAUGAGUCAUAAAAUCAAAGACAUCAAUCGGAGACUAGGCGAACUGGCCACUGAGUGGAACAGCUUUGCUCUAAGUCAGUGUAACGACAGUAGACAUGUUUUUCGCAGAGAGACCAUCUCUUUUGUGGAUUCUUCUGAUGUUAUUGGUAGAGAUGAGGAUAAAGAGAACAUAAUUAGUAUGUUGAUGAAACCAAGUGAGGAUCAAAAUGUCCCUGUCAUUCCCAUUGUUGGACUUGGGGGUUUAGGAAAAACCACGCUCGAUCAAUUAGCAUUCAAUGAUGAUCGAGUUACUAGCCUUUUUCCUUUGAAGAUAUGGAUCUGUGUUUCUGAGGAAUUUGAUCUUUCUAGAUUGCUCAAGCUGAUUAUUCAGUCUGUAAAUAAAGAAGAAAGAUGUGAUGAUUCAACACUUGACGCCUUGCAAGCUCGUUUGAGAAGCCUUUUGAAUGAUAAGAAGUUCUUGCUCGUCCUGGAUGAUGUGUGGAAUGAAAAUAAAGCAAAAUGGGUUGAGUUAAGAAAUUUGUUGAGAUCAACGGAUGGAUUUUCUCCAAGCAAAAUUAUCGUAACUACUCGGACUUUGAAGGUUGCCUCGAUAAUGAGUUCAAUUCCCCCUUAUGAAUUGAAAGGUCUCCGUCUUGAAGACUGUUUGACCUUAUUUACAAAAUGGGCUUUUAAUGAUGGUGAUGAGAGACAUUAUCCAAAUCUCAUUAGAAUCGGGGAGGAGAUUGUGAAAAAAUGCAAAGGGGUUCCUUUGGCAGUAAGAACAUUGGGAAGCCUACUGUUUCAGAAAACAGAUGAAUCUGAUUGGAUCUAUAUAGGAGAGAGUGAAAUAUGGAGACUUGAGCAACAUGAAAACGAUAUUUUACCAGUGUUGAAGUUGAGUUACAAUCAUUUGCCAUCUCAUUUGCAACGAUGUCUUGCUUUUUUGUCCUUGUACAAAAAGGAUGAGAUCUAUUCUAGUGAUAGAGUUAUCUGUCUUUGGAUGGCGAAUGGACUCCUUGAGCAUCCAAAGCAAAAUCAAGAGUGGGAGGAUGUUGGCAAACGAUAUUUGAAUGAAUUACAGUCAAGGUGCCUCAUCGAAAUGGGGCACGAUUUUGGGUUGGUUUUUACCUUCAAAAUGCAUGAUCUGGUACAUGAUCUUGCAUUAGAUGUGUCUCAAAAAGAAUGUAAAACAGUGAAUUCGGAAACAGAAACGGAUGAUGAAAAUGUUCGACAUUUAUUAUUAUGUGAUGAGAAGUUGGUUGGAGUUCCACGUGUUUUGGAGGAAAUGAAAAAUGUUCGAACAGUAAUCAUCCAAGAUGCUUUAAAGGGAUCAAGGACUACUCAUGAAUCACUUAUAAAUCUGUGUGUCUCCAAUUUCAAGUAUCUACGAGCAUUAGAAAUAAGGCAGUCACUAUUGACGGCUUUACCGAAUUCCAUUGGUACCUUGAAGCACUUACGAGAACUUGACUUGGUCGGAUGUUGGAUUAUAGAUGAACUCCCGAGAUCUUUCGAUAAGCUUCGCAGCUUGCAAUCGUUAAAUUUGGGAGAUACUGGUUUGAAGCAGUUGCCUGACAGCGUGCAAAGGUUGAUUGAGCUUAGACAUCUAGUAAUAACCAUUACAGCUACUCAUUUGAAAGAAAUACGAGCAGGAUGUUGGACUUCUCUUCAAUACUUGGAAUUGAGGUACUGUAUGGAAUUAGAAUGUUUACCUGAAGGAAUGCAGUAUCUGAAGUCACUUCGGACACUUGUCCUGGGUGGUUGUGUUAAACUUGUCUCAUUGCCACGGAGCCUGAAAUUCCUAACCAAGUUAGAACACCUUGAAAUAGUGAUGUGCCAUCGAAUCAAUUUGAAAAUGGAACCCGAAGAGGAAGAAGACAAAGACCUUCAGUUGAGCCUUAAAACUCUCUCACUCAUCGGAUUACUUGCCUUAGGAGAUUUGCCACGAUUGCUUCUUCAAGGAUCUUCCACUUUGCAGUAAUUACGAAUUAUGGAGUGUCGAAAUUUGUCCGUUCUACCAGCAUGGCUACUGAAUCUCACUUCUCUUCAUAAACUUGAGAUUGUGGGUUGCAGAAACUUUUCAGCUCUACCAGAGGGAAUAGACUGCCUCACCAACCUUAGAGAAUUGAGAAUUCACGGAUGUUCGGAGUUGAGCAAAAGAUACAGAGAAAAUGGGGGUGAAGAUUGGCACAAAAUUGCUCACAUCCAAAAGGUUAUUAUUUGUUAAUGAAGAAUGAGGUGUGUGAUAAAAUUUUAAUUUCUCUGUCAGAUUCGAUUCCAUAUUAUCUUUCCGUUUAGAGUAGAGUAGAGACGUGGCUUUUGUCCAGAAUAGUCCGUUCUAACAGCAUGGUUUUGGUUGGAAAUUUUGUAUGUUUAAAGUUUGUUAAGUACUCAUUGUGUUUGGAAACAUUGCAUGAAUGAAAUAUGAAGAUAGAGAUGGAAGAAUGAAGCAGAGGUUGAGGCAGGGCAGGGAAGACAUUUACUUUAUUUGCAUUUGGAUUUCAGUUGUAAUUCUAAGAAGUGAGCUGUUGCUUUGGAUAUGUAUCAACUUUUAGCUUUAUGCAUAUUUAUCUUUUCUCUUUAUGGUUUAGCAUCAACUAAUUGUGUUUGUAUUUUUUAGUUUAAUUUUAUUAAUUGUUUAUUUUGUGAUGGAGAAAUGAUGCGGUUGUUAUAAAAUUAAUAUUAUAACAUAUUUAAUUUUUAAAAAUUACAUACUUUAUUGAUUCGAUCAUGAUUAUAAAAAAAAGUAAUUCUAAAGAAUUAAAAUAUAUUUAUAAAAUUUAAAAAUACAAAUUACAAAAUAAAAAAAUAAAAAAAUGUUAUUCUUACAUAUUAAUAAUUUCUUUUAAAAUUUUAAAACAUAGUUUGUAACUUGAAAUUUUUAACCCCUGAAUAUUGACAUCAACAUUGUUUCUUUUUUUUUUUUUGAAAUUCAAAAAAAAAAACAUUGUUUCUUUUUUUUUUUUUUUACUCAAUGCUUUGCUUGGUAGACCAAAAAAUAAAUAAAAAUUGAAGUGGUAGAAAAAUUGAAAAAUAUAAAUUUUCUGGUAGGAAAGAAAAUUUGAUAGAAAAUGUAAUUAUCUUUCUAACCAUUGCUUAGUAGAGUUGAGAAAUAACAAGAAAGAAAACAAAAUAUUUAAAAAAAUGUAUAAUUUUGAAACUAACAUACACAUAUCUCUCUCAUUUUCUCUCCAUUCAUCAUUCCAAUUUGAAAGAAUUAAUUUUCCAUAAAAAGUACCAAGGAUCUAAGCAUUAUGAAAGUAUCCACAUUCGCAUUGGUUUUUUUGUGAAUAUUAAACACAAUUUAGUUGGUUUAUAUGGAACAAAUUGCCGUUAUUUUUAAGCUUGUCUUAAUCUAUAAUAUAUAUAAAAGUAAGAAUUUAAUUUUUUUUGAAUCGACGAUAAUAUCCUUUAAUGUUCAUUUAAGUACUAAAUAAGCAUUAAAUAAAUAAUUAUUUUUUUAAAAAAUAAUAGAAUUUUUCUUCAUUUGAACUAUAUGGUUAAAAAUAUUAGAUAAAAUCAUAUCAAUAAUUUUUUUAUCAUAGAGUUCUUAUUGGUUUGAGUUACACAGUUGAGUAUAUUAAUUAUUAAUAAUAUAUAUUAUAUUAAAUCAGUUACCAUUUAAUUAGUGUUACAAUUAUAUUAUCAAUUUAACUUAAAUUUAUCAUUAUAAUUAGCAUUCAAGGGAGAAUAUUAAAAUUAGUAAAUUUGAAGUCUCAAAAAUAAUAAAGUUUCUUUUCUCCUUUUUCCAUUAGUUGGUUUGAAGAAUGAUAAUGGCAUUAAACCGAAUAAGUCUCUGAAACUAAUCCGAGAUCGAAUAAUCAAUAGCUAUACCAAUAUAGAAACCAAGAAAAUGCAUAUUCCUCAGUUGUCAAUGAUUGAUAAAUGAUUAGUACACGAAGCAACAAAGAAUGUCAUGAUACUGUCAGUAAUGUUUACCUGGCAUUUUCUUAUCUUGAUUGUCUUCAUGUUCAUCGUUAUCACUCGCAUCACCGGUUUGCUUGGAUGCUGUUGAAUCACGAGGUAGUGGUCCGGUAAUUGACAGCUGAUAAAGAACCCCUACGGACAGCGUAAAGAGGAGGCACGUGUAAUGCCACGUGUUAUGUCGGAUGAGGGUAUAACAACACUAAUUGAAUAAAAUUUAUAUAAUUGACAAAAAAAUAUUUAUUAUAAUUAAUUACUUUUAUUUGCUGAAUUUUAAAACUGAUAGAAGUUAAGUUAGUCAAAAUUAUUGAGAAAGAGUGGAGAGAUGCUUUUAACAAUAUACAUAAGAAGCCUUUCUAUAUAUUGAGAUUUAAAUUUACCUGUGGAUUGUGCCAAUAGGCGUUUGUAGUCCAACGGUUAGGAUACUUUGAUAGUGCGUUUGUAGUCCAACGGUUAGGAUACUUUGAUAGUGGAUAAAUUAUUGUUCAGGUUCAUUUAAAUUUAGAUAAUUAUUUAUUUAAAUUUAUUUUAUAUGAGUGUAAAAUUAUAAAAAAAAUAAAUAUUAAAAAUAUUAAAAAAAGAUUCAAAUAUGUAAAAGAUUCAAAACAAUAAAAAUAAAAUAUUAAUAAUUUAUAAAAAAUUAAUAAAAAAACACAUAUAGAAUGAACUUGAGCCGUCCUCGGGUGUCUUCUUGUAGUGCCACGUGUUGCGCUGGGUGAGGAUAUAACAACACUAAUCAAUCAAAAUUAUAUAUAAUUGCGAAAAGUCUAUUUAUUGUGAUUAAUUGAUUUUAUUUGUUGCUUUUCAAAAUUGAUAGGGAUUAAAUUGCUCAAAAUCUUUUAGAAGGACUAAUUUUCUCAAUAUCAAAAUUGAGAGGGACUGGAGAAAUGUUAUUACCAAUAUAAUUGGGGGACAUAGAAAGCCUAUUAAGAUAUUUAAAACUCAAGUUUACUUGACAGCUGCAGCACCAGGCGUUUGUAGUCCAACGGUUAGGAUAAUUGCCUUCCAAGCAAUAGACCCGGGUUCGACUCCCGGCAAACGCAAUUGGAUUUUUUCAUUUUAAGCAAUUUCCCUUUUUCCUUGUUCUCCGAUGGAAUGAAGGUGGUAACUGGUGAGUGUUCGUUGGAUUAAAAGAUGAGAGAGCCAUUUGCCUACCAACACCAAUCACACACAAAGAAACAUUUGUGAUACUCAAAAGAGUGUGCUAAAAUCCGUGGUAGAACCCCCUACCCCUACAUAUCAAGCCUUUAAACAAUUUAUCCCUUUUUUUUUUUUUAUUCAUCAAAGCUUCACCAUUAAAUUUCUCUAAGGGAAGAUGAAAAAAAAAAUAGGGAAUGUGAAAAAAAGGCUGAAUAAUUUACGUAAUAAUUUUCAAAUUUAAACAUCAAACUAUAGUUGCUCUUACUCUAAAGUUUUCUUUAGGUACUUCAUAUUAGCAUCCGGAUACAUGAUAAGUUUAUAGUAAGUUAUGUAUCAUGUUUUUAGAGAAAAGUCAUGAAUAUUAGAAUUAGUCUUGAGAUAUAAAUGUCCGAAUCACUUUCAACUUAUGAGUUACUUUUUAUGGACAAAAUCGUAAAACCAAAUAGUUUGAAGAAAAAAAAUACAUUUUCCAUCAUGACACUAUAGCAUAAGGUUAUCUUUAGUAUAAUUUUUUUCUUCAUUUCCCAUAACAUUUUUCCAUAAAUUGGUAUUAAAAAUGAAAAUGAUAUUAAAUCAGACAAAUGCCAUAUAUGAAAUGAAACAACAAAGAAUACCACAGAUUUUAUUAAAUAGUGAAAAGGGCUAAUCAUGUUUUUAGAUUAAGGUACUUUCAUAAGUAUGAAGUAUACUAAAGAUUUCGUAAACUCUGAUAUUCUUCUUUAACGUGGCUUAAACAAAAACAUGUUUAUCAAACAUUUUUCUUAUCUUAAUUCUCUUCAUAAUCAUCAUUAUCAUUCAAUUUACCUUGAAUCGCAAGAUAACAGUCCGAUAACUAAUAGUUGAUAAAGUACUCCCUUUGAGAAGGCAAGAUGCAAAUGCCCAUGAAUAUGCGGUCAAAGCAAAAGUAUAAAUGUUCAUUUUUCUUCAAGAACGUCUAUCCUAUACCCAAAUAUAGAACUAUAAUCUUUAAUGACCUUCCAAAUAUAUCAAAAUUUUGAUAAAAGUAAAUGUAACUUAUGAAAAUCUAGAAAAAGAAGUUGACAUAUUGAUUGUAACAGUCCGGUUUUGACCCUAAUCAGUGUUGACACCAUUUUUUUUGUGAAAACGGGGUCGACUUGGAUUUUGAAAACGAAAAUGAAAAUGGGAGUCGCCAUCAAUCUUUUUUUAUGAGGUGUGAUUGGGUCACCUCGAAAAAUAGUUGCUUUUAAUAAACGGUUUAGAUUUAUUAAAACAAUGCUUUUGGUCUGCGAAAUUCAGAAAAAAAAUGGUCGGGAGUCGAUUACGUACGAGGAAGGAUUAACACCCUCGUAACGCCCAAAAAUUGGUACCUAGUUGAUUAAUUGGUGUCUUAGUGUCGAAGAUUUGAAACUUUGAAGAGUUUUAAAAAUACGAUCCUAAAAAAUCUGUAUAAAUCAAAUUACCCGUUAAGGCCCUCUCAUUUCGGAGAGAGAAAAUGUCACACCCAAUGAGUUAGGGCAUUAUGUUUCACCUCCUCAAAAAUGAGCUUGUCCAAAAAAACUCACGCAAUAAAAUUUAAAAGGAUAUUCAAUUGUUUAAGUCAGAUGAAAAAAUCGCAACCCAAUACAUUAGGGCACAAUUUCUCAAAAUUCUAAACAUUGAAUAUUGCUUUUUUUUUUUUUUUAAAUCCUCAUCUCGAAAAAAAAUGUGUCAUAUCCAAUGCGUUAGGACACAACGUAUUGAAUCCCCGACAAUGGGCUUUUUAUGUUAUUAUUAUUAUUAUUAAAGAGCAUUCUCGAUUAUUAGAUUCAACGAAGAAAAUUGGAACCCAAUACGUUAGGGCUCAAUCCUCUCGAAUCUAAACACGAAAUUUUGCUUAUUCAAAAGUUGAAACUUUUGCGUCGAGAUAAAUUAAUCUAAUUUGGAAUAGUGGAAAUGAAACACGAGGUAAAUAUGCGUACAAAGCAAUAUUAAAUGCGAUAGUAAAAAAUAAUACAAGCAACAACAAUAAAAAUGAAUGGAUAAAGAGGACAAAUUAAUAACAUGUAGAAUAACAAACAUAUGAACAAAUUAGAUUGAAAUAUUCUCUUAAAACUAAUAAUGAAAACAUGAAUAAAUAAUUAAAAUGAACAUGAACAAAGUGAUAAAAAUAUUAAAAUAUAAAUAUGUACAUAUAUAUGUAUGUGGAAAUUAUAAAAUAUAAAAACAAGACAACAAGGAUAUACGUAAAAUAUAUAAAUGAUGUAUGUGUAUAUAAAUUAUAAAAUAAAAAAAUAUAUAAAAAGGGCACUUUUCAAAAUAUAAAAAAUAUAUAAAUAGGUAUAUAUAUAUUUAUGAAAAAGAAGAUGUGUAUGUAGGUAUAUAUAGUCGUGUGUAUAAAUUAUAAAACAUAUAAAAAUAUAAAAAUAUGUAUAUAUGCAUGUAUAUAAAUAGGUUAUACAUAUGCAUAUUUUAAAAAUUGUGAAAUAUAACAAAUAUAUAUGUAUAAAUAUAAAUUAUAAUAUAUGUACAUAUGUGUAUUAUAAAAUGUAUAUAAGUAUACGUAUAUUUUAAGAUUAUAAAGUACAUAUAAAAAGAAUAUAUUUAUGUAUAUAUAUUUUAAAGUUAUAGAAUAAAAAACGUAUGUGUCUGUAUAAAUAUAAAAACAUAAAAUAUAUGUGCGUAUAUAUAUAUGUAUGAGUAAUUAUAAUAAUAAUAAUAUAAUAAGACAAAUAUAUUUACAAUUUUCAUAAAUAAGUAUAAAUGGAGAUAUAACAAUAAUAACAAUAAUAUUGAUAAUAAUACUAAUACUAAUACUAAUAAUAAUAAUAAUAAUAAUAAUAAUAAUAAUAAUAAUAAUAAUAAUAUAUUAGUUUUAAUAAAAAUAUAUGAUAAUAAAAAUAAUAGCGCAUAUUAAAAUAACGUAUAUAUAUAAAGAUAAAUGAAAAUAUAAAUAAAACAAAAAUUAAUAGUUAAAAGAAAUAAAAAAUACGAAAGGGAUUAAAUAGAAAUCAGAAAUAAAUUUAAGGGUGAGAAAACGAAACUAAAUAUUGUUUGGGGAUCAAAUCAGGAAACGCACAGAAAAGAAAGGACCAAAACAGUAAAUAUCCCGGUCCAUUCUAUACAUAGCGUUUCAGUAAGGACCGAAUUGAAAAUACAAGGAAAAAACGGGGUGAAAUUGCAAAAGUGAAAGAUAUUCAAUUGAAAACGCAAAGAAAAGCGGAAGGACUAGGGUAGCAAUUAUACCCUAGUCACAAAACACGCGGAUCUUCCUGGUAAACGGGUCAGGUCGAGUCAAAUGGCCUCAAAACGACAUUGUUUUGAGGCCGAAUGAAACAGGCCAAAACAGCGCCGUUUCAGAGUCUUUAAAAACCCUAAAAAAAAACCUAAUUACAUUUUAGCAGCCUCAACAAUAAAAAAAGGACAGAGAGCCUCCACCUCUUUUUGGCCCCCCGAACUCCGGCGCCAACCUCAACGGCGGUCCACCGUGUGGCCACCGUGGCCAAGGGCCGACGCGGCUCGAGAAGGUCCCCUUUUGACCGGGUCCAAAAAUAAACCCGAAGAUUCGGGUUUUCGACCCCCAAAACUAAAAAGGAAGGCCCUUAACCUUCUCCCUUUUUUAUUUUAUUAAUAGUUUUUUUAAAAGAAAAAACUGAUUUAAAAAGAAGAAAAAAAUGAUAAAAUAAAAAAAUCGAAAAACAGUAACCUUUGCUUUUAUUUCUGAUGUUUGUUCUCUUAAUAUUUGAUUCUUGAUGUCCCUCAAUUACAUUCAUUUGUUUGGCUUUUAUAGCCGUAUUACAUUGUUCUUGUGCUACUGCUUUUUCUCUGUUUCUUUCUCUGCUUUUGUCUUUCUCUUUUCUUGCAGGUGGUGGAGUCAAUGACGAUGGAGGGGCAGAUCCCCUUGCUAUUUUGGUGAAACAUCGACAGAGAGGGUCAGGCCUCGGGACGAGACGAGAGCGGAGUGCCCAAUGAGGAGCGGCGCACAUGGGAGCUAGGGUUUCUGAGAAUGAGUUUAGGUUGUCGGCCAACGGGCCGCUUAAGGUUUUGUUAUUUUGGGCUAUUUGGGCCUCUUUUGUAAAUGGACUUUUUUAUUAGUUUUAUUUGGUUUUAUUUUAUUUAGUUUUUGGCCUUACAAUCAGAACAGUAGUUUUGGGACCAUAAAUUCGAGUCAGAAAAAUAUUUAAAUAUUAUUAUUUGUGUUUAUACUAUGUGAAUUUAUAUCCAUGAAAUUUUCAUGUUUUAAUUUUGUCGUUUGAGUGCUGAUUUAAUAAAAAUGUUCAAUUGCGUAAGAUGAAAAAGUUGAUAGUUAAAUAUGUAAGGGCCGAAUUGUUGAUGUCUUUAUAGCAUGAGGUAUUUAUGAUGCAAUUAGACCAUUUAAUUCAUGCAUGGACACUUUUGGACAUGAGUUAGUGGAAAUGGAAUAAAAUUAUAAAGGUUAAAAAUGAAAAUAAAUAAUUAUAUGAUAAUUAAAUAAAACAAAAGCAUAAAAUAAAGCCAUUAUCAUCUUUGUUGGCCGAAUAUAGCAAAGAAAGAAAAUCAUCCAUGGCUUUUUAGGUUUUGGCUACUAUCAAGCUUAAUUCAAGAUUUGUUUUUGCUCGGUUUUUGAUAAUUUUUACGUUUUUGAGAUCGUUGCUAUGAAAUCUGUAAAGCCCAUGUUGUAAUUUUUUAAUUUGAUGAUGAUUUUGUGUUUUUCUAUUGAUGAUAGCUUGUGAUUUUUGUUAUUUGUUGAUAGAAAAUAAAAGAUAUGUGAUAGAUUAUAAUGUUUUGUCUUUGGAUUUUUGAUAAAUUUGAGUAAUUUGGGUUAAAUUGUGAAAAUAAUAUUUUGAGGGAUUAAAAUGUGAAAUAAAUGAAAUGCAUGGACUUUUAUGAGAAUGGUGAAGAUUCGGGCUAAGCAUGAUGUGUGCAAAAUUUGCAUGUUUUGUGUUUUGUGCAAUCUGGACUAAAUUGUAAAAAGUGUUAAAUGUUAGGGGCAAAAUGGUAAUUUGUCCAUUUAUGUGUUUUUGGGUGAAAUUGAGUGGAAUAAUAUUUGAAUGAGUUUAAUUUGAAUAUGUUUAGAUCAAGAACCAAAGAAAUUGGAUUUGGAUCGGGAAAAAACAAAAAUAAUCGAAUAGUCGUUUAUUUCCGUCCGUCGAUAUCCAAGGUAAGUCUAUAGCAUAUAAAUGCUGUUAAUUUUGAAUAUAUGUAAAUUUUAUAUGCUGAAUUGAAUUUUAUGAAUAUAAAUAUGUAUUGGCAGAAAGUGUAUAAGCUUAGGAAAUAUGGUUACGAGAUUGAUUCAAUUGAGUUACACCGUCCGAAAGUCCCAUGCGAACCUUAGGAAUAUUUAGGAUACAUAUGUCAUGAAAUAGAAUUUUGUUAUGUGUUAUCGUGUAAGACCACGUCUGGGACGUUGGCAUCAACUUGUGACUUACGUGUAAGACCUUUUCUGGGAUAGUCGCAUCGAUAUGUGAUUACAUGGAAGACCACGUCUGGGACGAUGGCGUUGUACGAAAUGUUCGAUUAUCCGAGUAUCCUUUUUAAUUUCGAAUGGUUCAACGGGCAAUAGUAAGUUAAGAUCGAGUGUAAAAUCGAGCUAGAAAGGAUCAGGUACGUACUCAUACUAAGUUAUAAAAAAAAUUAAGAUAAGAUGAAUGUUGAAUUGGUGGUAUAAUGUUAUAUGUUAAUGUGAAUUAUGUGAUAGUAUAUGUGAAUAUAUAUAUAUAUAUAUAUAUAUAUAUAUAUAUAUAUAUAUAUUUGGCCUAAUGAUGUAAAUGUAUUAUAAAAAGUAAUGGUUAAGUGUACUAAUAUUUGAAUGAGUAUUUGGCCAAAGGAGAAUUUAUGCAAAUUUUAUAUAUUUUGACUUAGGAAAUUAUAAGUUGGAAAUGUACAUGGAUUAUUAAUAGAUUAUUUCGAUUUGACUAGAUUAAUUUUGUAUAUGAUUAAACGUUUCCAUUGCUUAUGACUUACUAGGCUGUUAAAGCUUACCGUGUCUAUUUGCUCUUUGUUUUUUUUUUUAGAUUUUGAAGGUUGGUUAUGAGCUCGGGGAUCAUCAGAGAAGUCUCUAUCGACUCCUUUCGGUAUAUUAUUAAGUUGAAUUCGAACUUAUGGCAUGGAUAGGCUAGUUAUUAUACUUGAUUUUUGGGUAUGUAAAUAUGAGUCAUGCGAAAAUGGCUUAUUCAUUUUGGUUAAGCUUGGUUUUUAUGCUUUUGGUCUAAUGAAUAUAUAUAUAUAUAUACAUAUAUAUAUAUGAUGCUUAAGCUUAUGCAAAAUUUCGGUUAUGAUAUAUAAGUGUGAUGUGUUUGGCAUAUUUGUUAAUAGUUGUAUAAAUUAGCUAUAUUUGAGCCUAUUUCGAAAGCAAUAUGUGUAUCAUAGUUAUAUGAUGUAUUUAGUAUAUGCAUGAAAAUGUAGUCUCAAAAGUUGAUAUAAUUUUCUAUUAUUUGGUUUUGAUUGAAUAUGAAAUGAAUAGUCUUAUAUUACGGUUAAGUAAUGGGGAAAAUGAUGGAAGUAUUAUUGACUUAUGAUAUGUGUUAGUAAUUUCCUUGGAAUGAAUAUGCUAUGUGUAAUACUCAACUUUGCCCAGGGCCCAAUCUAAAACCCAAAAUAAAUAAACAUCAAAAAAUAAAACAAUAAACAGUCUAUUUUUACAAAUAACCCAAACCCAAAUGACCCAAUACCUAGCCCACUAACCUAAACCCUAGCCCAACUGCAAUGUGGUCCUCAACAAAAACACAACACAGCAGAAACCCUAAGCAGUGGCAACAAACCAGCGCCGCAACUGUCGCCCCUUUGCCUGCCUCCGUCGUAGCACCCACUCCGCGCACGUCGCGCACGUUCUCCUCCAGCACGUACCUGUAACGAACCACGAAUAGCAAAUAAUAACAAAAAAUAUAGCAAGAAUUAAGGGAUUUUUUUAUUUUUUUCUCUAAGAUUCGGCUAUAAAGACCGAAUGAUGAUUUUGUAAAGAGGGAGAGGAGUAGUAUCGAAAAGAGUAUUAAAAAUACAAAAACAGAGAAUCUAAAGAUUUUUGGAGGUGAUUUGUUUUUUAUUUUGCUCUUCGAGUUUUCUUCUUACUACUUAUAUAUACUUUUUGUUUCAUUUUUUAAAGAAAAUAAUAAAGAAAGAAAAUGAACGGCUUACAUGGCUUCGAGCACCGUUUGCGGUGGCUCCACGGUGGGCAUGGCGGCUGCCUGGGCAGGGUAUAAAACCCUAGCAGAGAACCCCAUUUCUCCUCUGCUUUCCUCUUAAAAGAAUGAAUGUUGUGGAGUGAGAUCUGAAAAGAAAGCAAAAGAGAAAUAGGGAGGAAGAAGAAGAAAUUAAGAGAAAUAGAAGAGAGAAGUCAGCAGAAGAAUACUUGCUUUUUCAUUUCAUAACCUCCCAUCGAUACUGUUUUGGUGUAUAUAGAAACCAACUAACAGAAUUCAACAAUAAGGUCUAAACACAUCGUUUUAGAAACAUCAUAAAAGGCACCGUAUAACUAAACUAAAACAAUUAUAAAAUGCAGCGUUUAAGACUCAAACAAUUAAAACAAUUAUAAUGAAAAUGUAGAUAAAAUGACCGUUAGCUGUUGCCAUAACAAUUGCCCCUCCUGCAAAAAUAUCCUUGUCCUCAAGGAUCAAACGUUGGAAAGCGUUGUUGAAGCUCCUGAAGCUUCUCCCAUGAAGCAUCCUCCGGAAAGGUGUCCGCCCAUUCGACCAGGACCUCCACAGCAGCAUGAUUCCCCUGUUUAACUAAAAGCCUAUCCAGAAUUCGCACGGGUGUCUUAAGAAGAGUGCCAUAAAACCCAAUCGGUGGAAAAUUUGAAGCACUCACCGCUGAGCCUAUAUGCUUCUUCAAUUGUGAAACAUGAAAAAUAGGAUGAAUACGAGCCGAUGAUCGUAGCGAGAGUUUGUAAGCAACCUAGCCGACUCGAGCUUCUACCGGAAAAGGUCUAAAAUAUCGAGGUGCUAACUUUUGAUUUUUAAACUUACGCAGGGAAUGUUGACGAUAUGGUUGCAGCUUCAAGUAAACCAAAUCGCUUACCUGGAAUUCACGUUCAGACCUUCGUUUGUCAGCCAUCUGUUUCAUCCGAUCUUGUGCCCGAGUGAGAUGGAACUUCAGAACCUUGCGCAUAGCCUCCCUAUUUUGCAAUGUUCUAUCCACCGUAGCCACCGGAGAAGCCCCCGCCACAUAUGGUAAGUGGAGAGGUGGUACUUGCCCAUAAAUAGCCUCGUACGGAGUAGUGUAGAUAGCCGAAUGAUAGGUAGUAUUGUACCACCAUUCAGCCAAUGGCAACCAAGCUGACCAAGUAGAAGGUUUCUCACCUACCAUACAUCUCAAAUACCCUUCGAGACCUUUGUUAAGAAUUUCAGUUUGGCCAUCCGUUUGAGGGUGGUAUGCCGUAGAUCGUUUCAAUUUGGCGCCCAUUUGUUUGAACAAUUCCUGCCAGAACGAACUUAGGAAAAUUUUGUCCCUAUUAGACACAAUAGACUCAGGAAUUCCAUGCAAUUUAUAAACAUGAGUAAGAUAUGCGUGAGCCACAGUAAGAGCAGUGAAGGGGUGAGCCAAUGCAAUAAAAUGACCAUAUUUGGUCAAACGAUCUACCACGACCAAGAUGGUCGAAUUACCCUGUGAUAGUGGAAGACCCUCAAUAAAGUCCAUACUGACAUCACUCCACGCCCGGUCUGGUAUAGGUAAGGGCUGCAAUAAUCCUGGUGAAGCAGAAUUUUUAGCUUUGCAACGCUGACAAAUAACACACUCACGUACCCAUUAUUUAACGUCCUUCGACAACCCUUUCCAAUACAAAUAUGCUAAAAUUCUAUUACGGGUGGCAUGGACCCCUGAAUGAUCUCCUAAGGCUGUGUCAUGGAAAAGACUAAAAAUAUGUCUUCGAAGUUGAGAAUCAUUACCGACCACGACCUUGCCCAACCGGCGAAGAAAUGUACCAUGCCAUGAAUAUUUUGGGUGCAUUUGAGGCUGAUUUCGAACGUCCUGACACAAUUGAAAAAGCUUCUCAUCUGUUGUGUAUGACUCAAUGAUACGCUCCCAUAUCGUGGACCAAUCCGGCUCAACAUUCCCCACACAUUGCAGCAACUGAGAAUCAGGGUCAAGGGGUUUCCUAGAUAACGCAUCAGCCACUGUAUUUUGAGCCCCCUUGCGGUAAACAAUCGAGUAAUCAUAACCCAACAUCUUAGCGACCCAUUUCUGUUGGAAUGGUGUAAUAGCCUGCUGAUCAAUCAGAAACUUCAAGCUUUGGUGGUCUGUUUUAAUAAAAAAAUGCCUUCCAAUAAGAUAAGAAUGCCAUUUUUUAACAGCUAAAAUUACCGCAAGCAUUUCCUUGUCAUAAAUGGAUAAAGCUUGAUAUUUGACGCCUAAUGCCUUGCUAAAAAAUGCCACCGGUUUACCCUUUUGUUGUAGGACAGCUCCCACCCCAUGACCGCUCGCAUCCGUUUCGACACAAAAGGGUUCUUGAAAAUUCGGUAAAGUUAAAACAGGCGCUUGACACACAGCUACCUUUAGUUGGUCAAAAGCUAUUUGUUCCACCUCUGACCAUUGCCAUGGAACAUUCUUCUUAAGUAAGGUGGUAAGGGAUGUGGCUAGAAGUCCAUACCCUCUGAUGAACCUUCUAUAGUAUCCCGACAACCCUAAAAAACCCCGCAACUCUUUAACUGAUUUCAGAAUAGGCCAAUCCAACACACCAUUUACCUUAGUUCGGUCCAUACUAACUGUACCUUUCGAUAUUACAUGCCCUAAAUAUUCCACCUGUACAACUCCAAAAAUACAUUUCGAUUGCUUAGCAUAAAGUUGAUGGGUCCUCAAUACCUGUAAUACCUCCUGUAAAUGAGUCAAAUGGUCUUUCCAUCCCCGAGAAUACACAAGUAUAUCAUCGAAAAAGACCAGUACUGAUUUUCUCAAAAAGGGUCGAAAAAUUGAAUUCAUAAGUGACUGAAAACUUGAUGGAGCGUUGGUCAAGCCAAACGACAUUACCAAAAAUUCGUAAUGGCCGGUAUGAGUUUUGAAAGUUGUUUUAUGCACAUCCUGCUCACACAUUCAAAUUUGAUGGUAACCCGAACGUAAAUCUAACUUGGAAAAGAAGUGAGCCUCCCCCAACUCAUCCAACAGUUCCUCGAUGAUCAGAAUAGGAAAUCUGUCUUUAACCGUCAAUUGGUUAAGCUGCCGAUAGUCUACACACAGCCUCCAACUACCGUCUUUCUUUUUAACCAUCACCACCGGAGACGCAAACGGACUAUUACUGUCUCGGAUAAUUCCAGCUUGCAACAUCUCCUGUAUGAGCUUCUCAAUGUCAGUUUUUUGAAUUACAGGAUAUCUGUAAGGUCGUACCUUAACCACCUUGGAUUCAUCCAUCAAAGGAUUUUUGUGAUCGUGUAACCGUGGAGGUGGUAAACUGGUAGGAGUUUGGAAAACGUCUUCAAAUUCAAUAAGCAGGCUACUUAGAUCGGAAGACAACUGCGUUGGACGCAUGGUCAAAGUGGUCUGCUCGCAAAAAGCUAAAAGCAUUGGGCAAGGGUCGUUACCCACUAAGCUCAGGCAUUUAGAUAGUUUUCGACUAGGAACAAUGUGCAUAGAACCCGGUACAGUACCACGCAAAGUACAGCUCUGUGCCAAAUGAGUAAACUGCAUAGUCAAGUUAGAAAAAUUCCACGCAAUUGAACCUAAAGAUAAUACCCACUGAAUACCAAGUACCAAAUCAAAACCCUUCACAGAUAGAACUAAGAAAUCCGUUGUGAACUUAUGUCCUUGUGCUUCCCAACCAACAGCCCUGCAUAGCCCUUGAGUACAUAGUCGGACUCCGUUUGCCACCAUAACUCUCUUAUUAGGACCCGAUUCUAAUGGUAACUCCAACCGUUUCGCCACCUUGAAGUCUAUAAAAUUGUGGGUACUACCCAAAUCCACCAAGACGAUCACUUCCAUAUGAUUAAUAACAGCAGGAAAUUUCAUAGUGCUAUGCCCUUGCAGCCCCUACAGCGCAUGUAACGACAGUACAUGAGUAGGACUCUCUAGAGCCUAGUCCACUGAAUCUAACUGCUACGGACAGUCUUGGAAGUCUUCAAGAGAAGGGCUCUUCGAAUCAACAUUAUAAUCCCCUAACAGCUCCACUACAAGUUGGUACACCUGAGAUUUUGAACACUUGUGGCCAGGUGAAUACUUCAAUCCACACCAAAAACACAAACCCUUUUUCCUCCUAUCUUCUAACUCCGCCUGGGAUAGGGAUUUUGAAGGAAUUCGUUGCCCCGGUUUACUAUUGUUCACAGGUUCCCCUGCUGCAACCACGUUUCCACCAUUACGCUGCAAUUUGGGUGUAGGGAAAAAAGACCUUGCUGUAUGAACUCCGCUACUAACAGGAGGCUCUUUUUUCAAAGACCCUAACACAAUGUUCUCCACUUGUCUUGCUAAGUUAUAAGCCUCCACCAAUGUUUGAGGUUUAAACAAACGGAGAUAUUGGCCAAUUUCAGUUUUGAGAUUACUAAUAAAUAUGCUUAACGCAUAAGGUUCUGGUAGAUUCAACUAAUUUAGCAGACUCAAGAAUCCAUCAUGAAACUGAUCCACUGAUCCAUGCUGUUUGAAAGUUACUAGUUCAGCCAUAGGAUCUAAAAAAGUCUCAGAUCUAAAUCGUUCUCUAAGUCCCCUUGCAUACACCUCCCAAGUCAACAAUGGUAACCCUCCAUGCCUACGUACAAAGAAAUGAUGCCAAUCUAGUGCUCUCCCUUCAAGAUGCAGCAUAACCACCCUAAUUUUUCCGUGGUCACCCACACCCUCAGCCUCAAAAUAUUGUUCCAAUUUUGACCACCAUCCCCUAAAAUUAUCUCCAUCAAAAUGAGGACAAUCAACCCGAAAAGAAGAAUGCUCAACCUCAGCUACACCCCCCCGAGAAGACAGGCUCGAAUGACCAAAAUCAUGCAUAGGAGACACUACUAAGGGUUCCUUUGCUGGAAACCCAGGAGGAGAACCUAAAACUCCUUUUCCCUUCCCGAUCACUGAACCCGAGACAGCCCCUGGUAGAUGCUGACCAAAGUAUUGUUCAAAUAAAGACUGGAUCUCCGAACGAAGCUCCGAUCGUACUUCAGAACGUACCUCUGUUUUAAUUCCUUCCUGAAAUUCUUUUAAUCGCGCAUCAAUUUGAGCAUCCAACUGAGUGAGCUCUAUUUGCAUUUGCGAAAACUCCCCUUGCAAUGUGCCUAAUUCCCGCUGCAUUCUGGUGGUUACUCCAUCCCCGGCCAUGAGAAUCGACGGCUCUGAUACCUUUGUUGUGGAGUGAGAUCUGAAAAGAAAGCAAAAGAGAAAUAGGGAGGAAGAAGAAGAAAUUGAGAGAAAUAGAAGAGAGAAGUCAGCAGAAGAAUACUUGCUUUUUUAUUUCAUAACCUCCAAUCGAUACUGUUUUGGUGUAUAUAGAAACCAACUAACAGAAUUCAACAAUAAGGUCUAAACACAUCGUUUUAGAAACAUUAUAAAAUGCACCGUAUAACUAAACUAAAACAAUUAUAAAACGCAGCGUUUAAGACUCAAACAAUUAAAACAAUUAUAAUGAAAAUGUAGAUAAAAUGACCGUUAGCUGCUGCCAUAACAAUGAAAUAGAAAUGGUUUUUCAAGAAAAAUUUUGAUUUAAGUAUUAAAGGAGAACGGCACCGUUUUGAGGUAAAGCCAUCAGUGCCAAAACGAUGUCGUGUAAGGCUACCCGCGUGAGACCCGACUCGUUUUCUCAGGAUCCCGUGUUUUUACUUUUAAUGGUCCAUUUUCGCAAUUGGUCCUUCGAUUUUUAGAAGCGUGUUUAAAUCAAUUUUUUUGUUUCUUUUAAAUUUGGCCGCAUGCUUUAUUUUUGUUUCAUUUCGAUCCUUAUUAAAACGCAGUAUUUUGGGGAAAAGGGUAAUUUCCCUUUUGAUCCCCCUCUGUUAUGUGCGUGUUCAAUGGGGUUCGCAUAUUUGUGUUUAUUUCGAAUUUGCUCUUAAAUUUUUGCCUGAAUUUCAAAUUAGUCAUUCUUUUUAUUUUUGUAUUAUUAUUAUUAUUAUUAUUAUUAUUAUUAUUAUUAUUAUUGUUAUUGUUAUUAUUAUCAUCAUCAUCAUCAUCAUCAUCAUCGUCGUCGUCGUCAUCGUCAUCAUCAUCAUCAUCAUCAUCAUCAUCAUCAUCAUCAUCAUCAUCAUCAUCAUCAUCAUCAUCAUCAUCAUCAUCAUCGUCAUCAUGUAUAUCUUUAAUGCCAAAUUUUAUUAUAUAUACAUGCAUACAUUUUUGUAAUAUUUAUGUACAUAUUUUUUAUAAUUUAUAUAUAUACGUACACUUUUUUAAAAUUAUUAUAAAUACAUUUUUUUGCAUAUUUCAUGUUUUUAUAGACAUAUAAAUACUUAUAUACAUGCGUAUUUUGAUACAUAUAUAUACAUAUUUUCAUAAUUUCCUUACAUGUUAUACUUAUACAUUUUUUAUUUUUGUAAAUACAUAUACAUAUAUUUUAAUAUACACAUGUGUAUGUACAUUUCAUGUUUUUUCAUAUCUAUAUGUUUUUUUUACAUAUUUCAUAACUUCAAAAUAUACAUGCAUACACAUACUCUAUAUUUUUAUAUAUAUAUAUAUAUAUUUCAACUCAUACACAUACUUAUGUGCACAUAUGUAUGUACUUAUAUUUAUAUAUAUUUCCUAAUUUUAAAACAUAUAUACAUAUAUAUUCUUCUUGUUUUUAUAAUUUUACGUAUAUACAUAUAUAUAUAUAUUUUAUUUCUUUCACGAUUUCGUUGUUUCGCACGGUUUACUUCUUUGUCUUUAUGUCCAUUUUAUUCAAAUAGCUUGUCUACUUAUUGAGUUGUUUUUAUUUUUCAUUGGUUGUUGCUCGUGCUACUCUCAUUUGCAUCACUGUAUUUAUCAUUGCUUGUCUUGCACGUCAACGAUACAAUUUAUUUUCGCAUUUUUAUGACUUCGUGUUUUAUUUUACUCGUUACAUCAAAAUUUGUUUCGAAUAAAUAACAUUUCGUGUUUUGAGAUUCGGGAAAGUUGUACCCUAACUUAGGGGGUUUCGAUUUCCUCAAUAAAUCCAAAUACACGAAUUUUCUCAAACAUUUUUUGAUAAUCUCGGGAACUAAUAAAAGAUUGUGUUCUAACUUACGGAAUAUGGUCUCUUCUAAAACUCGAGAUAAUUAAAUUUUUUUCAAAUAAAUAUUUCGGCAUUCAUUCUCGUAUCGGGAAUUUUAAACAUUGCGUCCUAACUUACGGGACAUAACUUUCUUUCUCGCUUAACGUGAAAAUAAGUCUGUGUCUCAAAAAUCCACAAUAUUUAUCUCAAGUUACAUGUUAGUCAUUAUUGUUUGAAAUGUUACAUUUUAGUCACUUACAUUAACAUUUUUUUACGAAAUUAUCGCUCUGCCGUUAAAAUUUGUUAUUUCUCAAACGAUAGGCCAAUAUGACAGUUAAAAUGAGUUUUAAAUAUUAACGAUAGAGUGACCAUUUUCUUUAUAAAACGAUAACAAAAGUAAUUAAAAAUAACAUUUUAAAUGGAAGUAAUUAAAAUGUAGCCUAAAUCAAAUAAAAAUGUUUAUUUGGAUAGUUUACCUUAUUUCUUUUUUUUAAUUUAUCAACACACCGUAGUUAAGUUCCAGCCAAGUCAACUAUGAAGCCUAGUCAACAAUCAAAAGCAGAUAUUUGGCUGAAAAUAAUAAAAUCAUUAUUGAGUGCCUCAAUCAUUCAUUUGCCUUCCUUCCCCUCAACCAUUCAAGCUUUGCUCUAGAAAUUCAAUUAUGGCGGAAACGUUUCUGUUCAAUAUUGCAGAAAGGGUUCUCGCCAAAAUUGGCAAUCUCUCUGUAGACGAAGUUCGCUUGGCGUUUAAUGUCAAAACCGAUCUGAAAAAGCUGGAGGACACCAUGAUCAGCAUUAAAGCUGUGCUCUUGGAUGCCGAGCGGCAACAGCACCAAAAUGAAAAGCUGUGCCUCUGUAUGUGGAAGCUCGGAGACAUCUUUUACGAUGCUGAGGACGUUAUUGACGAUUUCAAGUGUGAAGCUCUCUGGAAACAGGACGCCAUCAAUCAUCCCGACAUCAACAACUUAAAGGUGCGACUUUUAGGUUCCUGUUGUUUGCCUCUUUCAUUCUAUUUAAAAAUGAGUCAUAAAAUCAAAGACAUCAAUGGGAGACUAGGCGAACUUGCCACUGAGUGGAAAAGCUUUGAUCUAAGACAGUGUAGCGACAACCGACAUGUUUUUCGCAGAGAGACCAUCUCUUUUGUGGAUUCUUCUGAUGUUAUUGGUAGAGAUGAGGAUAAAAAGAACAUUAUUAGUAUGUUGAUGAAACCAAGUGAGGCUCGAAAUGUCCCUGUCAUUCCCAUUGUUGGAAUUGGGGGUUUAGGAAAAACCACGCUCGCUCAAUUAGUUUACAAUGAUGAUCGAGUUACUAGCCUUUUUCCUUUGAAGAUAUGGAUCUGUGUUUCUGAGGAAUUUGAUCUUUCUAGAUUGCUCAGGCUGAUUAUUCAGUCUGUAAAUACAGGAGAAAGAUGUGAUGAUUCAACCCUUGACGCCUUGCAAGCUCGUUUGAGAAGCCUUUUGACUGAUAAGAAGUUCUUGCUCGUCCUGGAUGAUGUGUGGAAUGAAAAUAAAGCAAAAUGGGUUGAGUUAAGAAAUUUGUUGAGAUCAAUAGAUGGCUUGCCUCAAAGCAAAAUAAUCGUGACUACUCGGAGUUUGAAGGUUUCCUCGAUAAUGAGUUCAAUUUGCCCUUAUGAAUUGAAAGGUCUUUCUUUUGAAGACUGUUUGACGUUGUUUACAAAAUGGGCUUUUAAUGAUGGUGAUGAGAGACAUUAUCCAAAUCUCAUUAGAAUCGGGGAGGAGAUUGUGAAAAAAUGCAAAGGGGUUCCUUUGGCAGUAAGAACAUUGGGAAGCCUACUGUUUCAGAAAACGGAUGAAUCUGAUUGGAUCUAUAUAAGAGAGAGUGAAAUAUGGAGAGUUGAGCAACAUGAAAACGAUAUUUUACCAGUGUUGAAGUUGAGUUACAAUCAUUUGCCAUCUCAUUUGCAACGAUGUCUUGCUUUUUUGUCCUUGUACAAAAAGGAUGAGAUCUAUUUUAGUUAUAGAGUUAUCAAUCUUUGGAUGGCAAAUGGACUCCUUGAGCAUCCAAAGCAAAACCAAGAGUGGGAGGAUGUUGGCAAACGGUAUUUGAAUGAAUUACUGUCAAGGUGCCUCAUCCAAAUGGAUCAGGAUUAUGGGUUGAUUUUUACCUUCAAAAUGCAUGAUCUGGUACAUGAUCUUGCAUUAGAUGUGUCUCAAAAAGAAUGUAAAACAGUGAAUUCGGAAACAGAAACGGUUGAUGAAAAUGUUCGCCAUUUAUUAUUAUGUGAUGAGAAGUUGGUUGGAGUUCCACGUGUUUUGGAGGAAAUGAAAAAUGUUCGAACAGUAAUCAUCCAAGAUGCUUCGAAGGAAUCAAAGACUACUCAUGAAUCACUUAUAAAUCUAUGUCUCUCCAAUUUCAAGUAUCUACGAGCAUUAGAAUUAAGGAAGUCACCAUUGAUGGCUUUACCAAAUUCCAUUGGUACCUUGAAGCACUUACGAGACCUUGACUUGGUCGGAUGUAGUAGUAUACGUGAACUCCCGAGGUCUUUCGAUAAGCUUCGCAGCUUGCAAUCGUUAAAUUUGGGAGGUACUAGUUUGAAGCAGUUGCCUGACAGCGUGCAAAGGUUGAUUGAGCUUAGACAUCUAGUAAUAACCAUUAAAGCUACGCAUUUGAAAGAAAUACGAGCAGGAUGUUGGACUUCUCUUCAAUACUUGGAAUUGAGGAGCUGUAUGGAAUUAAAAUGUUUACCUGAAGGAAUGCAGUAUCUGAAGUCACUUCGGACACUUGUCCUGGGUGGUUGUGAUAAACUUGUCUCAUUGCCACGGAGCCUGAAACUCCUAACCAAGUUGGAACACCUUUAUAUAAAUUUUUGCGCGAGCAUGAAUUUGAAAAUGGAACCAGAAGAGGAAGAAGACAAAGACCUUCAGUUGAUCCUUAAAACUCUCUCGCUCUUCGGAUUAGAUGCCUUAAGAGAUUUGCCACGAUUGCUUCUUCAAGGAUCUUCUUGCACUUUGCAGCAAUUACGAAUUAGGGGGUGUCCAAACUUGUCCGUUCUACCAGCAUGGCUACCGAAUCUCACUUCUCUUCAAGAACUUGAGAUUGUUAAUUGCAUAAAAUUGUCAGCUCAACCAGAGGGAAUAGACCGCCUCAGCAACCUUAGAGAAUUGACAAUUCACUUAUGUCCGGAGUUGAGCAAAAGAUACAGAGAAAAUGGGGGUGAAGAUUGGCACAAAAUUGCUCACAUCCAAAAGGUUGUUAUUACGGAUGAAGAAUGAGGUAUGUGGUAAAAUUUUAAUUUCUCUAUCAGAUUCGAUUCCAGAUUAUCUUUCCCUUUAGAGUAGAGUAGAGACGUGCCUUUUGUCCAGAAUAGUCCGUUCUACCAGCAUGGUUUUGGUUAGAAAUUUGGUAUGUUUAAAGUUAAUUAAGUACUCAUUGUGUUUGGAAACAUUGCAUGUACGAAAUGGGAAGAUGGAGAUGGAAGAAUGAAGCAGAGGUUGAGGCAGGGCAGGGAAGACUUUUACUUUAUUUGCAUUUGGAUUUCAGUUGUAAUUCUAAUAAGUGAGCUUUUGCUUUGGAUAUUUCAGACUCUUGCUUAAUGCCUUCAUGCCAUGGAUUGUAAUGUUUGUUUGAUAUGUAUCAACUUUUAGUUUUAUGCAUAUUUAUGUUUUCUCAUGCUUUAUUUGUGUUUAUGAUUUCCUAUACUUUCUUCUUCUUUUUUGUUCAUUAGUAUCAAUCGAGGGGCAAUUUAAAACAUUCUUAAAUUUGAUAUUUAAAUUCGAGUUCAAAUAAUAUUAAAAAAAUUACAUUUCUUUUAACUUGUAUAAGAUAUUCAAUUGCAAAGUCAUAUGUAAGUAGAGAAAAAUUGUCUCUGAACAUAUAAUUUAAUACCCAAUGCACACUCAAUUAAAUUUGAAAUUUUUAGUCCUGCAAGAUUUCGAGGUUUUUUUUUUUCCUUUUUGGUGAAUUGCAUGUUGGAGUUAGCAAGUUGCAAGACAUGUUAGUAAUUUUGUAUCGUUAAUAAUCAAGAUAGUAAAAUAUAAACAAAUAUUAAUUCAUUAAUAAUUUAAUAUUUUAAUUAAUAUUAAAUUAUAUUAUGUGGUCGGAUCAUAAUAUGAGAAAGACAAUUUUUAUCAAUAGAUAAUCUAAAUAGUCCGCGUUCUAAUCAAAAUUGAUGCGGAUAACUCCCUGAAGAUAUAGACAUAGAUGUCAUUGUCUGAAUUGACAAUAGUCGGACAUGAUCCAAGUUGAAUUUAUCAUAAAUCUUUUUAUGUAUUUAUUCAUUUGUGAUAUUCAUAGUGUGUUAUACCUUAAUCCUGAGUGGAUGAUAGAUUAUAUAUGCGUGACUUGUAUGCUUUAAUAUAAAUGAAAGCCCGAGUUUAAAUUGAUAAAAAAACCGAAAGGUAGUAUGUCAGAUAUACUACUUCUACAUGAUAUAGCACCAUUCCACAAUAAUGGAAUUCAUAGCCCUCUAAAGACAAACGAUAUUCUCUCAUUAACAUUACAUUGUUGAUAAAAAAAAACGUGACUACGGGUCAUUUGUCAUAAGACAAAUGAUUUAAUUAUUAUAUGUUAAUAAUUACUUUUUUUAUAUCAAAAGAUGUAAUGGAAAGUAUGAGAUAAGAUAGAAUCAUACAAGAAGAACAUAUUUUAUCUCAAAAAGAUUAAAGAUAUCCUAUAAGGGUAAUACACUUAUGACAAGGUUAUUAGACGGGCACUAAAUAAAGUAGUUUUGUAAUGAUAUACAAUAAGAUAGAGUUCAGUCAUUAUACUAUAGUGGAAUGACCCAUGAUUAAAUAAGUUGUAAUUAAUAGGUGAAGAGCUAAAACUUAAUUACAAAUUAUUUGAGCUCUAAUUACAUAUGUCUAAUAAGUCUCUUCUCUAGCUCGAGAUAACCCGAAACGAAUUACAUAUAGAAUUGAUAUAUUGUAGAAUGAACUAAAAUGAUAAGUAAAGAAAUAGAUCGUAUAUAUCACUAUCCGUAGUAAAUGUCUUUUCUCCCACUAAAUACAAAAGAUAACUUAGAAAUUAUUUUUUUUUAAAUUAUUUUUUAAUUAAUUGUAAUUAAAUAAUUAAAGUUCAAAGAAGGAAUUAAAUUACUUGGUUUGAAUAAGACAAUUAAAUUAAUUUUCUUAUAAAUUCUAAGACAGUAAAAUUGUCAUGACUUUAAUGAAAUUAGAGUUGAAUUAAGAAAAUAAUUAAUUGAAAAUUUAUUUUAGUUAAGUUAAUUAAUUAAAUUAAAUUAAUAAUAUUUUAGAUGAUAGAAAAUAGUUAUUUGAUUGGAUAAAUUAUAAAUGUUGGAUAAAAGUUCGAUAACACAUAUAAUUAUAUCCAAUAUACAAAAAGCUCAAAUAGACCUAAAUAAUACAAAGGGGUGGUAAACCCUAGUGUAUGCUAGGGCAUGUUGCCACCCCCUAGUUCUACUUCAUGUAGAACUCGUAUUUUUAUUAAAAUAUUAUUAUUUAAUUAGACAUUGUUCAAACAAAACUCUUGUAUCAUUUUUCUAUAAAUAAGAACUACGAGUAAACCUAUGAACAUACUUUGCAUACACUUUUGAGCAUCAAUAUUCUAUCUAAAAAUAGUGAUAAUUUUUUAAGAAUAAAUUCUAUUUUUCAUAAGAGUACUCAUAGUUUUUAAUUUAUAGAAAGAAUUAACUUUCCAACUGAAAGUUAAAUGAAAAUUUCAUUUUGUGCACUAAUUUGAUUUGUUUGUGCUUCCUUUUAAAAAGUGAGUUGUGCCUCGGGUAAGACUUUUUUAGCUUAGACCCGACCCAAAUUAGCAAAAAGACAAAAAAAUCUACUAUUUUCUUAUUUUUUUCCUAUUAUUUUCUCAUUAUUUUGUUACAAUUUCACUAUUAUGUUACUAUUUUUGUUGUUAUUGUUUGGAUAUAUUGUAUAACUCUUUGUUUAUUGUUAAUUAUGUUACUACUUUUGAGGCAUUUGCUUGAUAAGUUACACCUAUCUUAGUGUUAUUUAAGUAUAUAUUUUUUAAUUUGUUAAGAAAUAUUUAUUUUAAUGUUUUUAGUAUUUUUUAUAUACUAUAUUUUUUAUUUUUUAUAUACAAAAUAAUAUAAAAAAUUAAUUCAGCAGAACCGAGCAUGAGCUUUAGUACUUUUAUCCUGUUCGAACUUAGGCAAAAAUUUAAACCCAUUUUUCGGAUCGAAUUGAACUUGGAUCUAGUAAAUAAGUCUAAAAUUUGGAUAAGACAAGACCUAGCCCAUAUAUUGGUCUGUAACAGAAAAUGUUUAGUGGUCACUGUUUUGUUAUUUUUUAAAAGUUGAUUGACUAAGUUGAAACCUGAAUGAUUGUUUUGUCAAUUACUCUAAAAUUGAGUGAUGAUCGGUGUAAUUUACCGUAUUUAUUUCUUUCAUGUAAGAAGGAUUUUUCCGUUUUUCGAAUUAUAUGCGCCCCAGCUCAGUCAAGUAAAGUCAAUCAAAAUGACAGAUAUUUGGCAGAAACUUCGAUUUUGCUCAAAAAAUUAUUUUCACCUGAACAAGAAGGUUUGUUUUAUUUUUUUUUUCCGAUUUUGGGCUAUAACAUGAAAUUCUUUGUUUGAUUUUCUACCACAAAGAUAUUCUUUGUUUGCUUAGAAUGUGUUACACACUAAGCUCAUUAGCUUAUCUUUUGUUUGUUCCUCUCAAGUAAUCAGCAAACUUAGGAAGAGUUGGGUAGCAGGAGCUCGGAUUAAAAUAUUGUUUUUAAAUUUGUUUAAGUUAAAUUAUUAUUUUUGAACUACUUUAUCCUAUUUAGAAUAUUUAUUCCAAAUUGCAAGAUGUUAAAUUUCAAAAUCAAACUACGGUUUUCGAAACUCUGAUCAACUUAAAUUUUCUGUUGCAAAACUAAAUGAUUUUAUAAGUGUUGUUUUGCAAUAAAAAUGAAGUAACUUAAUAAGGCGUUUUUCUCUAGAAAUUGAAAAUAUUAUACAAAGUUUUGUUUUAUGUUACACUUUCGAAUUUUAGUUAUGGUUUUAAAACAAACGUAUGUAAUUUCUCAAAAUUUGACCAUAACGUCUAGGUCGGGUAUGAUGUGUUAUAUAUUCUUUAUUAGUUUAUAUAUUUACUUAAUUUAUUAUUAUUAUUAACUUAUUUAAUUGUAUAAGUUUUUUACACAUUCUUGUUUUAGUUUAGAUACAAUAAUUAAUACCCAUAAUCAUAUCUCAUUCUUAAUAUUUUAAUUUAUUUUACCCCUUUUCCAAUUAGGUCUUAAUUUAAUUAAAACACACUAUUUUCAAAUUAAAUAUCGUAAUCAAGUUUUGUUUUAGAUUAAUUAAUAUAAUAAUACAUGAUUAUUUUAUUUUAAUGCUUUAAUUAAUUUUUUUAACCUUAAUUUUGAUAUCCGUUUCAACCCCACGAUUAAUUAUCUGAUUCUUCUAACCCUUAUAUUUUGGGUAUUUCAAAUAAUAUUAAACCUUGAAUGCAAAGUGAUAAUAUGUCUAAUUUACAUGUUUAUUAUGUUUAAUUUUGAUAAAUUCUUGAAUGAGAUGUUACUAAUUUUAAACCUAUUAAUUAAUUUUUAAUUAGGUGUAAAAGCAAACCCAAAAAAUAAAAAAAUGUGGGCUGUCAUAAAAGUUUUGAGUAAAAAACUAAACUAACCAUUAGUUUGAAAAAAAUAAAGUAACAAUGGUGCUAAAAAAAAAUUGAAGAAAAGAAAAAGAGAAUUCACCUAAUACUUACUAUAUAAACUGUGGCAUGGUUCACUUACCCACCUUAAAAUCCCACUAUCCAAUAUAAAAUAAAUUAGUGGUAUAAUUUAAUUAUAUCAAUAAUUAAUUGAUUAGUUCUAUAAUUUAAUCAAAUUCAAGUAUAUGAUUCAAUUAAUUACAAGAUUACAAUCAUCAAUAUAGAGAUAUACAACUGAUAAAUACUCCUAAAAUUACUUAUACACCAUGACAUAUACAUUCAUAUAUCUGAUUGAUUCAAUAAUGAUUUUACGAUUAGUCAUAUAUUUUUAAAUUACUUGUACAUCAUUAAUUCUACAUAAAUUACUUGAUUUAUGGUUUAUUUUAAUUUAAUAUAAUAUUCUGAAAAGUUUAUAAAAUAAUAAAUGAUAAAUAAUAUUAAACUUAAUUAGUAUGAAAAGUGAUAAUACAUCCAAUUUACAUGUUUAUCAAGCUUAAUUUUGAUAAAUUCUUGAAUGAGAUGCUACUAAUUUUGGACUUAUUAUUUGAUUUUUGAUUAGGUGCAAAAGUAAACUCGAAAAGUUAAAAAAAGUUAAAAAUGCAAGCUGUUGUAAAAGUUUUGAGCUUUUAUUUUUGGAUUUAUUUGAAAAAUGGAUACUUUUAAUUUUAUUUUAUUUUUAAAUAACUCUUCAAUAUUAGAUAGAUGAGUAUAAGUAGUUUUAGGCGAGGUACAAGGGAGGGAGAAUGGAAUGGGGAAUUGAACUUCGUCCCUGAUCUCAAUUCUGUUAUAACUCUUUUCUUUACUUGUGUAUUAUUGCAUCAUUUACCUUUUUGUUUUAAGCUGAUAAAUAACCCUAUAGAUAGCUGUGAGAUAUGAACCUGCAUUUCAAAACUUUCGUUCCAAUGUUUAUUGUUUUUUCGGUUUAGGAGAUAGACUUCAUAGUCUCACAAAAUUAUAUUGACAUCAAGUUAAAAAGAAUUUGUUGAUUCAGUAUUGAUAAGCAUACAGUUGGAAAUAUCGAGUUGAUCUUUUAUCGUAUUCAAUCUACUCAAGAACACAUUGGCAUGUCCAAUAUUAAGUAGUUAGUUAGAUUUUGUUAGGAGGAAAUUGCAAUCAGUUUUGAAACGGUUGGGCCAUUUUAGUUCGCAAGGUUAUCGGAGUUAAAUCGUAGACUCGUGUUUCGUAGUUAUUCAUUCAAUAAAGGUUAGUUGUUGGACAUUCUUGCAAUAAAUUUACACAUAAAAAGGUUAAUAGUCCAAUAUAUCCUCGAUUAUUAUAAUUGACUUAUCGAUUAAAGAAGAAAACUUGCUAUUAAAAUACUUAUCGUAAAUUUAGUUAUAUAUGAACCCUAAAUAAAAUACUUCUUAUACCCAUUAAAACCAAACCAUUUAUUUAUCUAACUUAUAUUUAUUUUGGUAAAAGAAGACUUAUAUUUAUUUACUUUAUUCCUAAAACUUCAAACAAACCCAUCUUUAUCUUUUAAGUUUCAAAAAGAGGCUUGAAUUUUAUUUUUCAACCAUUUAAUCUAAAAAGAUAUUUUCUCAAUCCAAAACAAAGAUUUAAAUUAUAUUACCAUAUAUAAUUUAUGAAUUUAAUUUAAAUAAUAUUUUUAAUCUAUAUAUACCUUUUAAUGGGUAAACUAUCAAAAUAAUUACUUUUGUUUACCUCAAGUUACAUUUUAGUCACUAUUACUUGAAAUGUUACCAUUAACAUUUUUUUGCGAAAUAAUUACUCUACCGUUAAGAUUUGUUAUUUCUCAAACAAUAGUCCAAUAUGACAAUUAAAAUGGGUUUUAAAUGUAACAAUAGAGUGAUUGUUUUCUUUAUAAAAUGAUAACAAAAGUAACCAAAAAUAAUAUUUUAAACAUAAUAAUUAAAAUCUACCCUAAAUCAAAUAAAAAUGUUUAUUUUGAUAGUUUACUUCUUUCUUUCUUUAAUUUAUCAACACAGCGUAGUUAAGUUCCAGCCAAGUCAACAAUCAAAAGCAGAUAUUUGGUUGAAAAAAAUAAAAUCAUUAUUGAAUGCCUCAAUCAUUCAUUUGCCUUCCUUCCCCUCAAUCAUUCUAGCUUUGCUCUAGAAAUUCAAUUAUGGCGGAAACGUUUCUGUUCAAUAUUGCAGAAAGGGUUCUCGCCAAAAUUGGCAAUCUCUCUGUAGACGAAGUUCGCUUGGCGUUUAAUGUCAAAACCGAUCUGAAAAAGCUGGAGGACACCAUGAUCAGCAUUAAAGCUGUGCUCUUGGAUGCCGAGCGGCAACAGCACCAAAAUGAAAAGCUGCGCCUCUGUAUGUGGAAGCUCAGAGACAUCUUUUACGAUGCUGAGAACGUUAUUGACGAUUUCAAGUGUGAAGCUCUCCGGAAACAGGACGCCAUCAAUCAUCCCGACAUCAACAACUUAAAGGUGCGACUUUUAGGUUCCUGUUGUUUGCCUCUUUCAUUCUCUUUAAAAAUGAGUCAUAAAAUCAAAGACAUCAAUGGGAGACUAGGCGAACUUGCCACUGAGUGGAAAAGCUUUGAUCUAAGACAGUGUAGCGACAACCGACAUGUUUUUCGCAGAGAGACCAUCUCUUUUGUGGAUUCUUCUGAUGUUAUUGGUAGAGAUGAGGAUAAAGAGAACAUUAUUAGUAUGUUGAUGAAACCAAGUGAGGAUCGAAAUGUCCCUGUCAUUCCCAUUGUUGGAAUUGGGGGUUUAGGAAAAACCACGCUCGCUCAAUUAGUUUACAAUGAUGAUCGAGUUACUAGCCUUUUUCCUUUGAAGAUAUGGAUCUGUGUUUCUGAGAAAUUUGAUCUUUCUAGAUUGCUCAGGCUGAUUAUUCAGUCUGUAAGUACAGGAGAAGAUGUGAUGAUUCAACACUUGACGCCUUGCAAGCUCGUUUGAGAAGCCUUUUGACUGAUAAGAAGUUCUUGCUCGUCCUGGAUGAUGUGUGGAAUGAAAAUAAAGCAAAAUGGGUUGAGUUAAGAAAUUUGUUGAGAUCGACGAAUGGAUUUUCUCCAAGCAAAAUUAUUGUCACCACUCGGAGUUUGAACGUGGUCUCAAUAAUGAGUUCAAUUCCCCCUUAUAUUUUGGAAGGUCUCCCUCUUGAAGACUGUUUGACCUUGUUUACAAAAUGGGCUUUUAAUGAUGGUGAUGAGAGACAUUAUCCAAAUCUCAUUAGAAUCGGGGAGGAGAUUGUGAAAAAAUGCAAAGGGGUUCCUUUGGCAGUAAGAACAUUGGGAAGGCUACUGUUUCAGAAAACGGAUGAAUCUGAUUGGAUCUAUAUAAGAGAGAGUGAAAUAUGGAG
Molecule: long non-coding RNA, 43267 nt
Filed under: Gossypium raimondii (Peruvian cotton)
Lineage: Eukaryota; Viridiplantae; Streptophyta; Magnoliopsida; Malvales; Malvaceae
Description: long non-coding RNA (GRAI_LNC010996)
Rfam family: tRNA (bases 18289-18360)
Source: RNAcentral